Molecule: non-coding RNA, 68 nt
Filed under: Caenorhabditis briggsae
Lineage: Eukaryota; Metazoa; Nematoda; Chromadorea; Rhabditida; Rhabditidae
Source: RNAcentral
CCCUUUCAUGUACUGAGCCUCUACGUGGCGAAAGGGAUCAACAGACAGAAACGCCUGGCUAAUCAGUA